This 560-nucleotide ribosomal RNA is filed under the name uncultured bacterium. RNAcentral's name for it is "bacterial SSU rRNA". It matches the Rfam family "Bacterial small subunit ribosomal RNA", at positions 331 to 883 of the family's 1533-position model. The record is from RNAcentral.
CCAGACUCCUACGGGAGGCAGCAGUAGGGAAUCUUCGGCAAUGGACGAAAGUCUGACCGAGCAACGCCGCGUGAGUGAAGAAGGUUUUCGGAUCGUAAAACUCUGUUGGUAGAGAAGAACGUUGGUGAGAGUGGAAAGCUCAUCAAGUGACGGUAACUACCCAGAAAGGGACGGCUAACUACGUGCCAGCAGCCGCGGUAAUACGUAGGUCCCGAGCGUUGUCCGGAUUUAUUGGGCGUAAAGCGAGCGCAGGUGGUUUAUUAAGUCUGGUGUAAAAGGCAGUGGCUCAACCAUUGUAUGCAUUGGAAACUGGUAGACUUGAGUGCAGGAGAGGAGAGUGGAAUUCCAUGUGUAGCGGUGAAAUGCGUAGAUAUAUGGAGGAACACCGGUGGCGAAAGCGGCUCUCUGGCCUGUAACUGACACUGAGGCUCGAAAGCGUGGGGAGCAAACAGGAUUAGAUACCCUGGUAGUCCACGCCGUACACGAUGAGUGCUAGAUGUAGGGAACUAUAAGUUCUCUGUAUCGCAGCUAACGCAAUAAGCACUCCGCCUGGGGAGUAC